Long non-coding RNA from Zonotrichia leucophrys gambelii, 1741 nucleotides. RefSeq lists it as uncharacterized. The record is from RefSeq and is a predicted model, not a curated record. The transcript is spliced from 6 exons. NCBI's taxonomy places the organism in Eukaryota, Metazoa, Chordata, Aves, Passeriformes, Passerellidae.
CAGCUGCAACUCUUCAGGGGAUAAGAUUACAUUCUAUACCACCUUCAUUUACCCCCAACAAAUGUCUGCUACAUGACUGACUAUGAAAAGAACUGUAUGAAGAAACCAACAGGAUAAACAGGCGCAGCUCCCUCAGCUGUUCCGCAUAAGUGACCUGUUCCAGUCCCCUCAUCAUCUUUGUUGCCCUUCACUGGACCUGUUCCAGGAGCUCCCUGUCUCUCUUGUCCUGAGGAGCCCAGAACUGGACACAGCACUCCAGGUGUUCUUCAUAGUGGAACUAAUUAUAUACGAAGACAUGAACACUUCCUUUGAGGGGAAACAUAAAGUCAUCAGUGUUUGUUUCCAAGUCAAACAAGAUUUUGCUGGGUUUGCUCAAUGUGGCAUGGCCAACACAGUUGCAGCAUCUGAUUCCUAUGUUGUUUGUCCAAAUUUGUUCCAUGCUUUCUCAUCAAGGUGAAGAUGAGAUGAAGACAUAAUCAACCAAAAGGACAUGAUACUCACUCUAUUCAGUGACUUGGACAAGUCUUGUGAAGAACAAAGCAGUCUUUCAUCUCACCAGUAACAUGUGACCUGGACAAAAAACAUGCAAAUUUUUAAAAAACAAUUGAGAUUCUUUCGUUUGUGCGGACCAGUGGUCAGACAUCUCGUGUCCAACACCGACGUGCUCUGCAAGCAAUGGCUCUAUGAGGAUUCAUUCAUAUUGAUAAGUGCUGGGCUCAAGUGGUGGUGCAUGACCCCCUUCUAGGUGAAGCCAGAGCAUCAAUAAUGAAAUGUCAUAUAUCCAGCUAAAUGAACAAGGAUUUAUGACAGGUUGGACUAGAGCAGAGAAAUGGCACACCUCCUUCCAUAACAUUUGUUUCACUCUGAAAUCAUCUUUCUGGAGCUUGGAUGCCUAGAGCUAUUGCAGAUGAGAUACUCCUGCUCCUGCCCAUCAAAUAACCCAACUGCUUUCCCGCACUGCUGUGGCCAGUGUCACCUGGUGCACUUCUCUCCUACAGCCAUGUCACACCAGUGACUCAUGAAUCAUUCUGAGAUCAACCUCUGUGUCCCACCACAGCUGUUUCCCGCCAGUAAGCUCACAAAUGAACAGAAACUCUCAGUAUUAGUCCCAAAGAAUACUUGUGCUUGACAGUACUUCAUUUUAUCCCUUGUGUAUGGUUCCAGUUCUUACAGCCACCCAGGUCUUCCUGGGCACUGCCGCCGCCUUCUGUGUUAGUGAGAGACACGUUUUGCUGCCAGCAAACUCCAUUAUCACACUCCUGUAUCUCCCAACUGAACUGUUUAAUGAAAUGACAAAGCAAGUGUUGUUUGAAGAAUGACCCUCUAAGAGCUCCAGCAAUAACACCACAUAACAGCAAUUUCCCUUUCAAUGCCACUUUCCCCCCUCACAAUACUGGCAUCUCAAUAAUUAGCACUCAGCAUCAUUUAUUUAUUAAUCAGUGCUGAGCACUGAUUAUCAUGUGCACUGAAGGUACAUCAGGCAGGAGUCCUGCAGGAAAAAUAUGUUCUUAUUUAGGUACACACUGUCUAUUGAUGCAUGCUUACCUAAUGACCAAAAUGACCAUUUAUAUAAAUCUGGGGGUUUUUUAUGAUCAAUAAAGAAAUAUUGUUCUACUGUACUAACAAUAGUUGAAUGUGAAAAUGCUAAGAGGCAGAAAAUGAGUAUCUCUUUUUUUGCUAUUUUUUGGGCAAAAUAUUUUGUUUCAUAAAUGAUGAAAAUUUUUUUGAAGUUUUAUUUUGA